This 1152-nucleotide ribosomal RNA is filed under the name uncultured organism. RNAcentral's name for it is "bacterial SSU rRNA". It matches the Rfam family "Bacterial small subunit ribosomal RNA", at positions 220 to 1359 of the family's 1533-position model. The record is from RNAcentral.
UAGGGAUGGUCUUGCGGACCAUUAGCUUGUUGGCGGGGUAACGGCCCACCAAGGCUGCGAUGGUUAGCCGGCUUAAGAGGGUGAUCGGCCACAUUGGGACUGAGAGACGGCCCAGACUCCUACGGGAGGCAGCAGUAGGGAACUUUGCGCAAUGGACGAAAGUCUGACGCAGCAACGCCGCGUGAGCGAUGAAGGUUUUCGGAUUGUAAAGCUCUGUUGAGUGGGAAGAAAACUCUCCGGGAUAAUACCCCGGAGACUUGACGGUACCACUCGAGGAAGCCCCGGCUAAAUACGUGCCAGCAGCCGCGGUAAUACGUAUGGGGCAAGCGUUGUUCGGAAUCACUGGGCGUAAAGGGAGUGUAGGCGGAAAGGUAAGUUAGAAGUGUAAUCCACGGGCUUAACCCGUGACUCGCUUUUAAUACUGCUUUUCUUGAGUAUGGGAGAGGGAGAUGGAAUUCCAGGUGUAGCGGUGGAAUGCGUAGAUAUCUGGAAGAACACCAGUAGCGAAGGCGGUCUCUUGGCCCAAUACUGACGCUGAGGCUCGAAAGCGUGGGGAGCGAACAGGAUUAGAUACCCUGGUAGUCCACGCCGUAAACGUAUGGACACUAGAUGUUGGCCUCUUCGGUGGUCGGUGUCGUAGCUAACGCGUUAGGUGUCCCGCCUGGGAAGUACGCUCGCAAGAGUGUAACUCAAAGGAAUUGACUGGGGCCCGCACAAGCGGUGGAGCAUGUGCUUUAAUUCGAUGCAACGCGAAGAACCUUACCUGGACUUGACAUGGGGGUGAAAGUUUUCAGAGAUGAAAACCCUUCCUUCGGGAACGCCCUACACAGGUGCUGCAUGGUUAUCGUCAGCUCGUGUCGUGAGAUGUUGGGUUAAGUCCCGCAACGAGCGCAACCCUUGUCCUUAGUUGCCAACGGGUCAUGCCGGGAACUCUAGGGAGACUGCCUGGUACAACCAGGAGGAAGGUGGGGAUGACGUCAAAUCAUCAUGGCCCUUACGUCCAGGGCUAGACACGUGCUACAAUGGCCGGUACAGAGGGCUGCAAGACUGCGAAGUCAAGCCAAUCCCUAAAAACCGGUCUCAGUUCGGAUUGGAGUCUGCAAUUCGACUCCAUGAAGGUGGAAUCGCUAGUAAUCGCGGAUCAGCAUGCCG